CACUGUGAAGAAUCUGAUAGUCGAACUGAAUGAAGCCAAGUCCAGUCUUUACGGAAAAAUUUACACAACACUUCCAGCAGUGACCUGAGAAGCUACGUAUUGACACGGCGCUACCACGGGUGGAGGAGCCUGCAUUGCUGAAUCACAGGAUGAAGGCGAAUCCCUGCCAGCCUCCAUCCAUCUCUGGGGUGCUUAGCAGAAUCCUCAGCUCACAAGAUGAAUAAAUGCAGACUAAAUGAUGCACAAAUAAUCUUCACACACAACCAUCAACACAUGGAAAGACUGCAGGACGGCCAGAUCCCAAGCUAACAAACAGGGGAAGAUGAUGUUUCAAAUGAUCAUCUGAAUGCUGGGUUUCCACCUUCCACCAGGAAGUCAUAUGGUAAAAAGAAAAAAAAUGGCAUUAUGAUACAAACAGAAAAUGUAACAGUGGAGUGCAGAAAAUACAAAAAAAAGGAAAAAAUAAAUAGAAAAUCUUCAAAGAGGCAAUCUGUUUAAAUCUUCAAGAACUGGAAACAGUAAAAGUGAACAGGUUUUUAUUGAGCAUGUCAAUAAAAUGUUUGCAUAAGACUUUACAAGUGCUUUAUUUCAUGAGGUUUUUAUUAUUGAUCAAAGCAACGAAAAUGAACGGGAAAUUCAUUCUCAUCAAAUCUACAACUUGGGAGGAGGUCCGAUGAAAUCCCUGGAAGCUCACAUUUUUUAUAAAUGAAGAGUUAAUUACCGGUGGGAACAAUGAGAACCUCUGUGGUUCUUCCUGAUGCUUGGAUCCUCCCAGACCUCUGUUUCCAGUCUCCUUCUCCACAACCUGGCCUAUGCGAUGCAAGUGGUCUAACUGAUCUCCGCCUAGGGAAGGAUCCUUCGGCAACUUGCCGACAAGAGAAGCAGCGAUGCCCGAGGCAGGUCCAAAGGAGCACUGACUGCGUGGGAUUGAUUACACUGGAGGAACAAAAGGUCCUGUGGCUACACAAGUUUGAAAAGCAGAAGGUACAAUCAUUGUAUUUCUGGCAGACUUUUCAAAGACUUUAAUAUAUGAAUCCCUCAUAUGAAUCUCCUGGAGGAUUAUAUAAUAGGCAGAUCUCCCAGCCAUUUUCACUGAACAGUUCUUAGAAUUGGUAUCCUUGAAAAAUUUCACCUAACCACUCAAUAUGGUAGCCACUAGUCCUGGGUGGCUAUUGAGCACCUGAAAUUUGCCUAGUCUGAAUUAAGACACAUUCUAAGAAUAAAGCACACUGUAUUUCAAAGGCAGUACAAAAAUAAAAAAGAAUGUAAGCUGUCUCAAUAAUAAUUUUUGUAUUGAAUACGUGUUGAAAUGAUGUUAUUUUUGAUAUAUUGAGUGAAAUAAAUUGUAUUGCUAAAAUGA
RNAcentral lists this long non-coding RNA (1360 nucleotides) under Homo sapiens (human). RNAcentral describes it as "cancer/testis associated transcript 69". Lineage: Eukaryota; Metazoa; Chordata; Mammalia; Primates; Hominidae. The record is from RNAcentral.